Molecule: RNA transcript, 1418 nt
Organism: Dreissena polymorpha
Lineage: Eukaryota; Metazoa; Mollusca; Bivalvia; Myida; Dreissenidae
Exons: 5
Source: RefSeq, a predicted model, not a curated record
UGCACCUUGUAAUGCGCUUUAGAAAAAAAUCGUAAAUUCCCUAUUACGAAAAUCACACGCCUAUGUCCUAUUUACAUAUGCUCAGAUGCGCCAAGUGCCCCGGGAAAUAUAAUUAGUGGACUGGACAUACACUCUGCACUGGACAUCACGGGGGAGGACUCCCUGGAGGUCAUGGACACCUCAUGUGUGAUGAGCAUGGCUGUGCCGGGCUCCGCCGCCACCACCAUGAGGACGUCCGUGAUGCCUUCUUCAUAUGCAUUACAAAUAAGUGAGAGUGCCAUAACAGCAAGCUAUGAAGAACACAAUGAUUCCGCAAGGAAUGUCAGUAAAGACGUGAAGCGAAAAGAAGCAUUCACAAAGAAGGCCGACAAAAGAUUGUCCAGCAAUACAUUAACAACGCUGACUACUGCAAACAUGGAAAAGGACAUUGAAAAGUUGAAUAUUGACAUACACAAAUUAACUGUAGAAAUUGAAAAAAUCCAAAUGGAUAAAAAAUAUCUGCUGCAUUUAAAAAUAAACAAGGGCUGUUUGCAAAACAUGCAUGCCCCCCUAUAUGGGCUAUAAGUUGUAGUAGCAGCCAUUGUGUGAAUACGUUUUUUGUCACUGUGAACAACGGUGGUGGUGGUGGUGGUUAUUAUUGAUACAAUGCAUUACAAAAAUGCAGUUAGCCUAACAUUUGGUAAAAUUUAAAUAUAUUACAAGGGAGGCAAAUGCUGUAACAAAAAGAACAUGCAUAAACGGUAGUUGUUUCCCUUGUUUGAACCAUGCUUAAUCCUUAAAAUGCCUAUUUCCAGUAACUGUGACCUUCACCUGUGACCUUUGACCUAGUGACCUCAAAAUCAAUAGGGGUCAUCUGCGAGUCAUGAUCAAUGUACCUAUAAAGUUUCAUGAUCUUAGGCCCAAGCGUUCUUGAGUUAUCGUCUGACAACCACCUGGUGGACGGACCGACCGACCGACAGACAGACAGACCGACAUACCGACAUGAACAAAGCAAUAUACUCCCUCUUCUUCGAAGGGGGGCAUAAAAAUGAAGAACAAUAUUCCUUAUGUUUACAGGCAAAAACAUUAUACUACAAUGGCAAAGUUUUAAACAGCAUGUAGAUAUUGUAUACCGAGGAAAAUAAGAACCUAUUUACAUGUGCUUUUAUUACAGGUAUUCAAAUGAAACAUACAAAUGUGUUUAGGGUCAAUAUGUGACCAAGUGCUUUAACUCCGACAUGCAAUGUAUUAGAUUUAUGCCCCUUUUUCAUUUUCAGCAGGAUCCCCAGAGUUGUGCCCACUAAAUCGAUUGAAAUUGAGGAAUGUUGUCAUGAUCAAUCUACCUAUGAAGUUUCAUGAUCCUAGGAAUAAGCGUUCUUGAGUUAUCAUCCGGACACCAUUUUACUAUUUCGGGUCAUUGUGACCUUGACCUUUGACCU